RNAcentral lists this ribosomal RNA (452 nucleotides) under uncultured Paraprevotella sp. RNAcentral describes it as "partial 16S ribosomal RNA". It matches the Rfam family "Bacterial small subunit ribosomal RNA", at positions 341 to 792 of the family's 1533-position model. Lineage: Bacteria; Pseudomonadati; Bacteroidota; Bacteroidia; Bacteroidales; Prevotellaceae. The record is from RNAcentral.
ACGGAAGGCAGCAGUGAGGAAUAUUGGUCAAUGGGCGAGAGCCUGAACCAGCCAAGUAGCGUGAAGGAUGGCUGCCCUAUGGGUUGUAAACUUCUUUUGUUCGGGAAUAAAGGAGCCUACGCGUAGGCUUUUGCAUGUACCGUUCGAAUAAGCAUCGGCUAAUUCCGUGCCAGCAGCCGCGGUAAUACGGAAGAUGCGAGCGUUACCCGGAUUUAUUGGGUUUAAAGGGAGCGUAGGCGGCCUUUUAAGUCAGCGGUAAAAUGUCAGCGCCCAACGCUGGCCUGCCGCUGAUACUGAUGGGCUUGAAUACACACAAGGAAGGUGGAAUUCGUCGUGUAGCGGUGAAAUGCUUAGAUAUGACGAAGAACUCCGAUUGCGAAGGCAGCCUUCUGGAGUGCGAUUGACGCUGAGGCUCGAAAGUGCGGGUAUCGAACAGGAUUAGAUCCCUGGUA